Glossina fuscipes is the source of this 519-nucleotide long non-coding RNA. RefSeq lists it as uncharacterized. NCBI's taxonomy places the organism in Eukaryota, Metazoa, Arthropoda, Insecta, Diptera, Glossinidae. The transcript has 2 exons. The record is from RefSeq and is a predicted model, not a curated record.
UUGUAAACAGAGCAAAUGAGUGGUGUUUGAGCGGACAAAACGGAAUGAAUCGGGAAUGAACGAAAAAAAAGAAAUGCUUACAACCGUGAAAUUCGGCAAGAAAUUGAAUUGAAUUGAAUUGAAUUGAAUUGAAUUCAAUUGCAUUAGCAAAACACAUUACGGAAAUAUGAAAUAUUUAAAGAAAAAAAUAAUGAAAAUAUAUUUGGAAAAAAUGUGAUUAAUAAAAGUUCUUUGUAACAUGAAAACGGUUGCGAAUUAAGUUAAUUUUAUCUCGGGAAAAUAAAUAAAUUUGCGAAUAGUUUUUGGUAAGUUUUUGCGGCUCAUUGCGUCCAUACAACCAGACAAUCGUGCAUACUAUUUAUCUUGCGUAGCGUUGUUGUCAGUGAACAUUAGCGAGUGUUUGUAAUCUAAGUAUCUGCCGCUUUAUAUACGUAACUGAGAAAUUCGAUAAAUGAUUUAAACUCCGUGCACGCGGUUAAACUCGGUAACCCAAAGCAUGUUUGUAUGUUCCGUCAUAAA